AUUGAACGCUGGCGGCAUGCCUUACACAUGCAAGUCGAACGGUAACAGGUUAAGCUGACGAGUGGCGAACGGGUGAGUAAUAUAUCGGAACGUGCCCAGUCGUGGGGGAUAACGUAGCGAAAGCUACGCUAAUACCGCAUACGAUCUACGGAUGAAAGCGGGGGAUCGCAAGACCUCGCGCGAUUGGAGCGGCCGAUAUCAGAUUAGGUUGUUGAUGAGGUAAAAGCUCACCAAGCCUGCGAUCUGUAGCUGGUCUGAGAGGACGACCAGCCACACUGGAACUGAGACACGGGCCAGACUCCUACGGGAGGCAGCAGUGGGGAAUUUUGGACAAUGGACGCAAGUCUGAUCCAGCAAUGCCGCGUGCAGGACGAAGGCCUUCGGGUUGUAAACUGCUUUUGUACGGAACGAAACGGUGAGCUCUAAUACAGUUUGCUAAUGACGGUACCGUAAGAAUAAGCACCGGCUAACUACGUGCCAGCAGCCGCCGUAA
This 493-nucleotide ribosomal RNA is filed under the name uncultured bacterium. Its description in RNAcentral is "partial 16S ribosomal RNA". It matches the Rfam family "Bacterial small subunit ribosomal RNA", at positions 30 to 523 of the family's 1533-position model. The record is from RNAcentral.